AUUGAACGCUGGCGGCAGGCCUAACACAUGCAAGUCGAGCGGUAGCACAGAGAGCUUGCUCUCGGGUGACGAGCGGCGGACGGGUGAGUAAUGUCUGGGAAACUGCCUGAUGGAGGGGGAUAACUACUGGAAACGGUAGCUAAUACCGCAUAAUGUCGCAAGACCAAAGUGGGGGACCUUCGGGCCUCAUGCCAUCAGAUGUGCCCAGAUGGGAUUAGCUAGUAGGUGGGGUAACGGCUCACCUAGGCGACGAUCCCUAGCUGGUCUGAGAGGAUGACCAGCCACACUGGAACUGAGACACGGUCCAGACUCCUACGGGAGGCAGCAGUGGGGAAUAUUGCACAAUGGGCGCAAGCCUGAUGCAGCCAUGCCGCGUGUGUGAAGAAGGCCUUCGGGUUGUAAAGCACUUUCAGCGGGGAGGAAGGCGAUAAGGUUAAUAACCUUGUCGAUUGACGUUACCCGCAGAAGAAGCACCGGCUAACUCCGUGCCAGCAGCCGCGGUAAUACGGAGGGUGCAAGCGUUAAUCGGAAUUACUGGGCGUAAAGCGCACGCAGGCGGUCUGUCAAGUCGGAUGUGAAAUCCCCGGGCUUAACCUGGGAACUGCAUUCGAAACUGGCAGGCUAGAGUCUUGU
RNAcentral lists this ribosomal RNA (633 nucleotides) under uncultured Klebsiella sp. RNAcentral's name for it is "bacterial SSU rRNA". It matches the Rfam family "Bacterial small subunit ribosomal RNA", at positions 28 to 652 of the family's 1533-position model. Lineage: Bacteria; Pseudomonadati; Pseudomonadota; Gammaproteobacteria; Enterobacterales; Enterobacteriaceae. The record is from RNAcentral.